This 700-nucleotide ribosomal RNA is filed under the name uncultured Alphaproteobacteria bacterium. RNAcentral describes it as "bacterial SSU rRNA". It matches the Rfam family "Bacterial small subunit ribosomal RNA", at positions 56 to 804 of the family's 1533-position model. Lineage: Bacteria; Pseudomonadati; Pseudomonadota; Alphaproteobacteria. The record is from RNAcentral.
UGCAAGUCGAACGCAGUAGCAAUACUGAGUGGCAGACGGGUGAGUAACAUGUGGGAAUCUGCCUUGUGGUUCAGGACAACAUUGGGAAACCGAUGCUAAUACUGGAUAAGCCCUUACGGGGAAAGUUUUAAUGCCAUAAGAUGAGCCCGCAUUUGAUUAGUUAGUUGGUGAGGUAAUGGCUCACCAAGACAAUGAUCAAUAGCUGAUCUGAGAGGAUGAUCAGCCACACUGGGACUGAGACACGGCCCAGACUCCUACGGGAGGCAGCAGUGGGGAAUCUUGCACAAUGGAGGAAACUCUGAUGCAGCGAUGCCGCGUGAGUGAAGAAGGCCUUUGGGUUGUAAAGCUCUUUUGUAGGGGAAGAUAAUGACUGUACCCUAAGAAUAAGGUCCGGCUAACUUCGUGCCAGCAGCCGCGGUAGUACGAAGGGACCUAGCGUAGUUCGGAAUUACUGGGCGUAAAGCGCGCGUAGGCCGUUGAGUUAGUUAAUUGUGAAAUCCCAAAGCUUAACUUUGGAACUGCAAUUAAAACUGCUCGACUAGAGUUUGAUAGAGGAAAGCGGAAUACAUAGUGUAGAGGUGAAAUUCGUAGAUAUUAUGUAGAACACCAGUUGCGAAGGCGGCUUUCUGGAUCACACUGACGCUGAGGCGCGAAAGUAUGGGUAGCAAAGAGGAUUAAAUACCCUCGUAUCCAUACCAUA